RNAcentral lists this ribosomal RNA (459 nucleotides) under uncultured bacterium. RNAcentral's name for it is "partial 16S ribosomal RNA". It matches the Rfam family "Bacterial small subunit ribosomal RNA", at positions 338 to 795 of the family's 1533-position model. The record is from RNAcentral.
CCUACGGGAGGCAGCAGUGAGGAAUAUUGGUCAAUGGGCGCGAGCCUGAACCAGCCAAGUCGCGUGAGGGAAGACGGUCCUAUGGAUCGUAAACCUCUUUUGUCGGGGAGCAAAAGACGCCACGCGUGGCGUUCCGAGAGUACCCGAAGAAAAAGCAUCGGCUAACUCCGUGCCAGCAGCCGCGGUAAUACGGAGGAUGCGAGCGUUAUCCGGAUUUAUUGGGUUUAAAGGGUGCGCAGGCGGAAGAUCAAGUCAGCGGUAAAAUUGAGGGGCUCAACCUCUUCGAGCCGUUGAAACUGGUUUUCUUGAGUGGGUGAGAAGUAUGCGGAAUGCGUGGUGUAGCGGUGAAAUGCAUAGAUAUCACGCAGAACUCCGAUUGCGAAGGCAGCAUGCCGGCGCUCAACUGACGCUCAGGCACGAAAGUGUGGGUAUCGAACAGGAUUAGAUACCCGUGUAGUC